Non-coding RNA from Zootoca vivipara (common lizard), 13460 nucleotides. NCBI's taxonomy places the organism in Eukaryota, Metazoa, Chordata, Lepidosauria, Squamata, Lacertidae. The record is from RefSeq and is a predicted model, not a curated record.
GGUCUGAGAAAAAUGGAGGCAAGCCGGUGCGCAUCGCCGCUUUAAGACUUCGCUUCCUAGCCCAGUCUCGGCCUCCGGGACCGUGCGGAGAUGGAAAGAUUCAGCCCGGGCAAUGGAAGUAAUAGCGGAGCGAAUCCGACCCUCUGCAAAACGCAGCCAAAGCAGCCUUGGGAGGGGAGGCGGUCGCCCGCCGGUCCUGUAGAACCUCCUCAUCCACCCACAUCCCAGGGAACCGGUUUAGUCUCGCGUUCCUACCCCAACCCCCACAAAGGACUUAGUAAGAGGAGUUUAACAGGAACCUCGAAAUGGGUAAGGAAAUCCAGUUCUGUUCUGCGAAUUCGAUAUUAUUCCCUUUGGAAUCAUUGCUAUUAUUAUGAAGGGUGGCAGAGAUUUCAUGUUGUUUUGCAGGCCGGUCCUUCUCCGGAGUGGAUCCUAAGUAUGAUUCCUCCGGAGUCGGUCUCUCCACCGGAAUCAAUGGGCCUUCCUUUCCAGAAGGAGCGGCUGGAGAAACACAGCGCCUAGUCUGCGCUCCUGAAACGCCCCUUCCCGGGGGUUUGCCCCCCACUGAAGUUGCUGCCAUUGCAGCACGUGAAAGAAGAGCGGAGAGAUCCUUAAUAGUGCAAAAUGCCCAGUUUUUCAAUAGCAUUGGGGGAGUGAAAAAAGAGAGACUUGCUUCUCUUAGUCGUUGCAAACUCCACGUGCCUAUAUCCUUCUCCUGUAAUUCUCCUGGUGUGAAGCUGGGGGCGGGACGCCGUCCUAGGAGAGGAGAGGUGGGGGGGGGAGGGGGAAAAGUCACGAAUUCAAAUCCACCCAAGAGGAACCCCAGAGACAGGUGAAAAGAAGUUUGCACGCGAUCCAGAUUGGGUCCCCCCCCAAUUUACUGCCGCAGAAAGGCGAGGAAGAUGGGGAAUGCUCGUGGAUUCACAACAAGGAAUAGGGUCUUCUCAUCUCCCCCCACCCGCUCCGGGCCGCAAAGAAAGCGAAGAGGAGGAGAAGGGGCGCAGCGUGCAGCAAGGCUGGUUCUCGGAUCAACAGGUGCAGGAGCGCUUCUGAUCGCAGCCAGGCAAGCAAAGCAGCGAGGAGAAAUUGACAACGUGUUUGUUUUCCUAACGAAGAUCAAGACUUGGGAGCGACUUCAGUCAAGAUUCGGAUUAUUAUUUUACCGUCCCUUGUUUUGGGGGAAAGGUCUGGGGUGGGAGCCUAAUUUUACGGUGGAAUCUUAAACUCAGAGAUCACGUCGAUUCCCGGGAGAGACAUGUAGCCCCUAUCCUGUAUGCAGAAUUUAUUGGAAGUAACACCUGCCGACCUCAGUAGGACCUACUCAGGAGUAAGAAUGUGUAUUCAGUUCGCAGCCUUGUUCUUAGGACAGCCUGCGACAUUCAUCUGGAAGUAAAUCCCAUUCCCAUUGAACUCAGCGGGGCUUCUUUUCCGAGAAGACAUGGGUUGAAUUGUUAGGCUCCAAUCCCAUACUCGCUUAUCUACUCGAAAGUAAACCCGGAUCAUCUUGUUUCCUAGUCCUAGAUGCAAAAAUAGAACUAGGCUGUUUGUUUCAAAUUCUCUGGGCUGUUUGCAGAAUGAAUUAUUUCGGAGUGAGUGGGUGGGUUAUAUGAUAAAAAACCCUUGUCUAGUUUUUUUUUUUAAUUUAAAGAGUUUCUAGUUCUUGCAGAUAGACACGAAAUUCGAGGCUUAUUUUACUCCCUCAGCGGGGGAAAAUCAAAUAUAUGGAAAGGCAUUGCUUUUUAAAUAAAUGAUUUGUGAAACUAUAAAAGGGUUCAAGAAUAUAUAAAUCAGUUUGUAAACACGAAGAGGGCUUCUGUGCCUGGAAAGCUUGGCAUCCCUGUCUCAGUGCAAUCCUGAACGUGCCUACUCAGAAGUAAGCCCUGCUGUGUUUUAGGCCUCACUUAGGACUCUGGUCCGACUGAACACAGAGAAUCUUUCUAGCGGUGAAGUGCAGCGCCUAUAAAUGUGUCUACUCAAAAGUAAAUCCCUCUGACUUUUCUGGGACUUCAUCCCAGGUGUGUGCAUAUGGGUUUUCUAGUUUUAUGCCAGCCGGGUAAGUGGAGUUAAGGGUUGGCAUCGAAGCCUCCCUCCGGGUGCAUUCACACGCAUAGCUGCCGCUCAUCAGAUAUACGAGGGACCAGUAAGCUCAUGUGCAUCAAGGGUGUCCAGCAGCUUAAGAACACGGACAUUUGCACGUGUGAAUCUCACUCACCCUUAAGGCGUUUCAUACGUGCCUUGCAGCAUGGAAGAGAGAAUAAGCAUGUCAGAACAACUGUGGCAAAGGCUCUUGGUAGGGAACACAGCCAGCUUAUUUUGUCCCAUUGCUGUCGAUUACAUUAAUAGCGAUUUAUUAUUAUUAUUACUAUGAUCGAAUAAAAUUGUCAGCGAGACACACAGUAGGACAGACCUCUCUCCCUAUCUACAGCUACAGGGGAUUUGUCCCGGCAGAGAAUCGGGCUGUUGAGCCCCCGUCCGAUAUCUGUAGAAAUAAUAUGUUCACGCUUCUCAUAUCUAUGUGGAUCAGUCGAUGUGCGCUGGGGCCAUCUGAUAUGAACAGGUCACAAGCAGAACGUGGGGUGGGGAGCUCCAUUAUGGCACCCCAGAGGCGGAAAACGGUCCCAAAGGAGUUUCUCUUGGAACCCACUGUCUAAUUGUCACUGGGUACACUGGGAUUAGUCACAGUCUGACAGCCUAACCUACCUCACAGGUUCUACCGUUACAGGUAGGUAGCCGUGUUGGUCUGGCGUAGUCGAAACAAAAUACAGUUUCUUUUCUUCCAGUAGCACCUUAGAGACCAACUAAGUUUGUCAUUGGUAUGAGCUUUCGUGUGCAUGCACACUUCUUCAGAUACCUCACAGGGUUGUUGUGGAGAGGAGGAAAGCCGUGUUCGUCACCUUGAGCUCUUUGGAGGAAGAGGGGGGGUAGAAAUGUAGGCUUCUGUCACACACACACACAAAAGCAUUUUCCAGAGUGUUUUCAGAUGCAUUUGUAAUCCUAUUGUUUUAUACUGUGAUGAUGAUGAUGAUGAUGAUGAUGUGGCCCAUUCAAGCAAAGUUCUCCAGGCGGAUCACCUAAAUUUCAUGCGGAACUAAGAGCAAAAUAAUAAUAAUAAUAAUAAUAAUAAUAAUAAUAAUAAUAAUAAUAAUAAUAAUUUCCUGACUUUUAGCAUAUAUGUUUUGCAUUUUACUUUUAAUGUAGACUUUAAUUGUUCUGUCCUUCUUUUGUAAACAGCCCCGGGAACAUGAAUGAAAGGUGUUAUUUAACAAAACACACAACCCUCCAUACUUCUGAAUAAACAAGUGAAACACGUGCAUUGACGAUGCUGUAUAAAUAAAGGAUUCUUGAUUGCAGAACAAAUAGUCUGGGCAUUUCCCUCCAUUUAAAGACCCUCAAAUAAACGUUGGAAUUUUUUUUUGGGGGGGGGGGAACCUACAUCUCUGAAAUUAUUUCAAGACAUCAGGAUACUAUAGGCUACUGCACCAACUGAGAACACCACCUUGUCUACUCAGAAGGAAACCCAUAUGAAUUCAAUGGUGCUUACUCGCAGGAAAGCUAUUGGUGCAGUUUCAAAGAGGUACAGAUUCAAAAUGACACCCAAACAUAGAUGAAAACCUGCUCCUUGAUCUCAGGAACCAACAUGCAGAAUUUGGUUAAGACCAGCACAUAAGAGGGAACCAUUUAAAAGUCUCUUACCUUGUGGAACUCCCUUCUGAGAGAUAUAUGGCUUGCUCCAUCAAUCCAGGAACGCUGGGAGUUGUUUACGGGAAGCCUGUCGGGAAGAGGCUCAAUGGCUGGCUCUCGUUGGUUGGGAGAGGAGAUCGGUAUCCGUCGAAGGUGCGUGGAAUGCUUCCGCUGGUGGAGCCUGAGCUAUUGCUGAGCGUCUCGAUGCUUCCUUCUCGCUGUAGCUCUGUAGUGGGGAGAGAAAAGGAGGCACCACUCUGGUCAGUGCUUCAGCUGAAGAAGCCAGAGACCAUCUUGGCUGUGAGUCCUAGGAGAUCUGCUCCCUACCUUGCAGGCCUUUUCCACCUGGUGUGAGAGGGUGGGGCCCGGACUGACUCCAGCUACAAAAGGUGAGGUUGCUGAAUAAACUCUUAGGCCGGGGUGUUUGGGUUUCUUUGUUGAGCACUGCUGUUUUUUUUGUAUUUUUAUUUUAGAUUUUGUUGUGAUUGACUACUUUUGCUAUGUUGUGGUUAUGUAUUUGUUUCAUGUUGUAAGCCGCCUUGAGCAUGGUUUGAACUGUGGAAAGGCAGUGUACAGUUAAAAUUAUGCAUGCAUGUAUGUGUAUCCUUAUUCUCUCAUGAGUUCAGAGAUUGCAAAACUGCAGUGUAGCUCUGCAAUGAGUAGCAUAUUCCGCACUAAUGCUAGUCUUAUCCUGUCUGAUUUGGCUCCUUUUAUCUUCCCCUCAUGCACAGCUGGCUCUGGUUAAACAUCUCGCGUCACUCCACGGGUCGCCGUCAGCAGGGAGACGGAAUGUGGGCAACAGCUCCGCCCAAACAUUGCUUUUUUGGCUUCUGAACUCCUUACAAGGUUCCCUGUCUCUUCCUUUAAAGAAAAAAAAAACCCAACAACCUAGUAUUGAUUUUCAUGCCAAUGUUGCAUUUUUUUUCUUUUUUAACAGAAAGAAGAAAAAAGCAAGGUUGGGAACAGGGAAGCAGAUGUUAAUAUUUGCUGAAUCCUGGUUGUCUGUGAAGAUGGAACAGUGACCUGCUUGCCAAAGUAGAGAGAAGCUCUUUGGGGUGAGGAAGAGGUGACCUGAGGGGCAGCGGAAGCUGGUCCAUUAGGGCAAAUGGGGCAGUGCCCCUUCAACCUCAGCCUGCCUCUUCUUCCUGCCUUCUUUCUUACAACCGGCCCAGGGGAUGGCACUGGCUGAAACUUGCCUUAGUCUUGGUUUUGCCCUUCUAUGGAGGGAUGAUUGGAGCCAUGGUCUGAAUAUUUACCCAAAAACUGCUUCUCUGCCAUUUCCAGCCACAACUUCUAGUCUUGCCGUCUGGGGCAAGAAAGAGCUAUUUUUCUCCAUCUGCUGUGUGGCAGCCCCUCCGAUAUUUGGAGCCUGCUGUUGUGUUCCCUCUUGUCCUUCUCUACACCAGGCUACCGAUAAAUAGGUCCACCUCUUCCAAAUCAUUUUUCUUCUUGAGACCGCCCCCCCCAUUCUCUUGGUCCCUCCUCCUUUGGGCACACUCACCAGUGCCCUUGUUAAACUGUGCUGCCCAGAAUGGGCAUGGGACUCCUGAUCCACCCAUCCCAGCACUGAAGGUUCCAACAGUGCCCCACCUACAUGUCAGGGCUAGAGCACCUGUAACCCCCCAGACAUUGUUGGACAUUGACUCCCACUGGCCCUAGACAGCAUGGCCAAUGGUCAGGCUCUCACAGGAUGUUGUGAUGGCCACCAACUUGGAUAGCUUUGAAAAAGCGGGUUAGACAAAUUCAUGAUGGAUAGGACUAUCAGUGUCUGCUAGCCAUUAUAGCUGUAUACUACCUCCAGUGUCAGAGGCGAUACCGGUUGCUGAGAAUCACAAGGGGGAGGGUUGCUGUUGCAUUCUGGUUCUGCUUGAGGGCUUCCCAUUGGGGCACUUGGUUGGCCAUUGUGAGAACAGGAUGGUGGACUAGAUGGGCCUUUGGCCUGAUCCAGCUGCAGGCUAUGUUCUAAUGAUGGGAGCUGUAGUCCAGCAACAUCUGGAGGGCAGCAGGUUUCCCGCCAGUAAUCCAGGAAGCUCACAAGUUGUGAUAGCCACCAUCUGCUGGGAAUCCUCAGAAGCAGCUUCCCAUCUUUCUGCCCUCCUUAUUCCAGCAUUGUGUGUCAGGCAGCCUCUUGUGUUGAGGAUCCCUCCACUUUUGCCCUGGCUAAGUACCCUUUGCCUUUCCUAUUCAACAGCUGGUGUGCAUGCCUCUCCAUCAACCUCUUUUGACCUGUUUCCUCCCACAGUAGAUGACAAGCUUAAUUCCCCGCCCCCAGUAGGUAUUUUUGGCACAGGCAGAUCAAUACCAAGAGCUCUUAGUAACUGCCACGGGACACCCAACCAAAGCAAGAAAGCGUGAAAAAGAGACAUUUAGAGAGAAAGAGAGAGAGAGAACAACCAUCCCACCUUCACUUUCAAGGUGAGAAUGAUUGUGAACCGCAGCACCAGCACAGUGGAAGCCUCAUCACCCCAAGAGCAACUAGUUAAGCAGUCGGCGCAGCAGAAGUUUGACAUGCUUGAAACAAAUAUUGGGGGGAAACACAAGGAACAGUCAAGGAGGCAGGAAGUUGAAUAUUCUGAGCAGGCAGUUAAAGAAAGCUAAGUGCAAAUAUAUAUGUGUGAAUAGUUCCCACAAUAAAUUUUCUCUAGUCAAAAUUCAUUGCACCUGACUCUAAAUUCUCACUAGGUGAAAUCAGCCGACAAAUCACGAUGGACUAUCCUACCGCAUAAUGAGAUGGGAAUGAGGCAGGAGAGUCCCAGGGCAGCAGACUGGACUGUACCACUUUUUACUGGCAGGUGGGAGAAUCAUGUUUGUGAGUAACAGCAGCACAUCUGCUGCUAUGAUAGGCAGGGAGAGUUUGGGUGGUGGUGGUGGUGGUGGUACCAAGACCCUCCAGGGAUUUGGGGUUGGUCUAGGACCCAGGGAGGCACAGGUUGAGCUCCUCAGUCUGCCAUGAAGCUCACUGGGUGACGUGGAGUUAAUUACUGUCUUUCUCAGCCUAGCUACAAAUUCUGGAAUCUGUUCUCACAGGAUGGCUUUGAAAGGAUAUUAAGAGAAGGCUGAAAGAGAAGGCUAUUGAUGAGAGAUCAUCAUGAGAGGUCUGCUAUAGAGGGGCUGCUUUCCCUCCUGGGGAACAUUCUGGGGGCCACUUGCCAGUAAUUGGUGAGGCCUGAGGCAAACGUGGCUGGAUCCGUAACUGUGACACUUAUUUUUCACAGCAGGCUACAUUCCAGCCAUGCUAAAGCCAGAGGUUUUACACCCUACCAUGCUGUCCCCCUUUAAAGAACAGGAGAGACCAGUGCCAAUCACCAUGCGCCUAUCACACGCCUUGCAUGUGCAGUAAUUACAUUGCAGCCCUGAACAUAUUCCAAAAGUUGGACUACCAGAAGCCCAUAGGACCCUCAGAACCGAAAAGAGACGGGGGAGGAGAAAGAGAGAGCGGUUGAAGAGAUUGGGAAUAUCCGCCUGGAGUCGUUCUGGGUACAGCGGAACUUGCCUGCAUCACCUCUCUGGAAAUUAUUGAAGUGGGAUGGCGAUACUUACCUUACUUUGAUGGGCAUCCUUUGACUUGGUGGAUGGAAGAGAGCACUGGAUGUGGCUGGAUGUUUGCGUUUUUGUUUUAAAAAACAGGAAUUACCUUCUCAACCUUACAGGUGGUCCUGCUACUUUUGGGCUGAGGUGUUUGGGAGUGGUUGCAUUUGGAUGCGGCGAUGGUUGCAGUGCCUGUUCUGUGGAUAAACAGAGUGCUGUGUUCAUUUGGAGGGGGGACUAUGACAUUUUUUCUAAAGAAACCCCAAAGCAGUAAAGAAUCAAAACUGGAUGUUUGGAGAAGGUGAAGCUUGCCGCAAGUUUGGAGAUUUGGUUAUUUGUCAUUAAGGAGUGGGGCUUGGAGUUUGCUCUGUGAUAAAUAAAUAUUUGCAGCCCCAAUAAUUGCUGGUGUGGUAUAGCGGUGUGUCAGACUCGUCCAGGGGUGACCAACCUUUUUGGAUUACUGGGCACAUUUUGAAUUUUGAGGGAGCGCCGAGGAUGCCGCUCACAAAAUGGUUGCCACAGAGAGCAUGGCAUAACACAAAAUUAGAGAGACAACAAUCCCCGACAACCUUAUGCUUAUCAUGGAAGGUCAGCUGUGCCUGUUGGUCCUGAUUAUAGAGUCGUACACAUGAAUGCAGUUGCUGUCAAAUAACAGGGAGCAUUCCUCAGUGCCAGGGAAAAUGUACAAGUUACAUCAUUCUCCUUUUACAAAAAUUGCUUGACAUUUUUAAAAUGAAAGCUCAGAGUCUGGGGCAACUGGGUUGGUGACCUCUGGGUUGGUGACCCAGCCUACAAAGACUGGUGUUCAAAUCCUCACUCAACUAUUGGAGCUCCCUGGGCGACAUUGGGCUAGUCACUGUCUCUCAGUUUGACCUACCUACAGGGUUGUUGUAAGGAUAAAAUGGGGAGUUGGGGAGCACCAGGUGUACCAGCUUGAGUAAGCACCUUAGAAGAAAGAUGGGCUUUAACAGCAGCAACAGCAACAUUAAUAAUGUUUUAGGCAUUUAUAGCCCCCUUUUAAAGCACUUCAUCUAGGCUAGGGGGUAGGGAAGCUUUUUCAGCCUGAGGGUCACAUUCCUUUCUGGGCAGCUACCCAGAGUUCACAUGCCAUUGGUGGAUGGUGCCAGUUGCAAAAGUGGGUGGAGCGAUGAGUAAAUUUUACAGCGGGUUAAUUUCUACGCAUGCUCCUCUCUCGAUCCUCCACCCAGGCAAGCAAGGGGCAUUAAUAGAGUUAAAAUACACAUCUCAGCCAGGCAAAGAAACACAGAGAGGGUGCAGGAGGGCUAGUGAGGGAUGUGGCUUGCAGAGAUUUUGUGGGGUAUGGGGAGAGUCUCGAGGGCCAGACAGAAAGGCUUGGAGGACCACGUUUGGUUUCUGGACCUGAAGCUCAUUGGUGGUGUUGAGGAGACCAGGUUGGGGAAGAUUGGUAGAAAAUACAUAGCUGGAUAAGUGGUCUGACAUGGUAUAAGGCCAGGGACGAGGGACCUGUGACUCUCCAGAUGUUCUCAGACUCCAUUCUCAAUGGCCAGCAAUUAGGGAUUAUCAUUGUUUUACCAAUUUAUAUGACAGUUGCAGUCCAGCAAAAUCCGUAGGGCCAGAAAUUCUGCAUCCCUGUACUAAGCCAACCCCUGUGUCCUUGCAUUAGUCUUCCUGGGUAAGCGGAGAAAAAAACUUAAUUUGGCGGCUAGGACAAAGUCUGAGAACAGCUGGAUAUAACGAAUUUUCAUUCGCCUUUGCUUUUAGGAUCUUCUUGGAACAUGGAGCUGCCAUCAGUCAUUAUCUUUUGUCUGACUUAGACCCAGAGCCAUCAAAGGACUCCACGGAAAUCUUAAAAGGAAAGAAGGUCCCGGCUGGCUUUGCUUAAACCUGAAACCAUUUUUAUACGGGACAUUAAUCCGGGGCCUGCUCAGAAACUCUAUGUAGUCCUCCGUUGCCUGGAACACUCAUAAAUUGUUCUGCCUCUCUCCCCUUUCUCCCCCCCCCCUUUCCGUCUUUCUCUCUCUCUUUCUCUCUCUCUCAAUUGUGGAAUCUGCUCUCUGGUGUAUUAGCCCUCCUAAUGGUUUUUCCUUUCUCUCGCUUUCCCUGACAGAAGGAAUUGCUGAGCAGAAGAUUCAAGAAAUAUCCUACUUGGUAACGAAGAGGGAGGAUACUGGGGGGUGGGGAGAAAGGGAUUUGCUCCAAAAGCUGUUCUGUCCCUCUCUGUGCCGCCCGCCCUGCCAGGGUUGCACCAUUUCCUGCAGAGACGCAGGGUGGACGAAAUGAUACAAUGACAGUCGGGGCCGAUGUGUUGGCGGCAGGGGAAGCAGAGCGGCGGCAGGCACAACUUCGGAUCCCAGGAUUCUCCUUCCUCCUCUCCACCUGUCACAACGCAUUAGGCUCAAGCGUGCCCAGCUUGCCGAAGGAGUGACCCCAGACUGAAUGGGAGAGCGCUGGUGGAAAGAACUAAUUGUAGCCUCGUUUUCACACGUCAGUCACUUUUCACAGCGCUGGGCUUUCUGAAGCUCGACUAAUAUUCCCCCCCCCUUCAAAUCCCUGUGCUGAAUUACGCUGAGAUGCACCCUGAUGAUGGCAUUUCUAAAAGGAACAAGACCUCCAAUGGUGGCAGGAGUGGGGACAAUGGGAAGUGGCGCCUGCUGGCCUGGUAAGUUUAUCCACCCGUCCACCCUGCUCUUCCUAGAAGUUCAGGCACCGUUCAGGUCAUUCAUUCGAGUUAUUUACUGCCCCUUGUACAAGCCUUAGGGUGGCUUAUGACUAAAUCAGAUAAGAUUAAAAGAAUACAUGUGUGAACCCCCCCCUAAAUUAACAACACAACUCAAAGCAAACCACCAAACUGCAAUUUACUCAUCUAACUAAGCCAUUUGUCCAAUCAGGUUUCCUGAAAAUUCCAGCUGAAAAGUGUGUCUUAACCAGCCACCUUAAACUUUGAAGAGGUGGGGCCAGGCAUACCUCAGUAGGGAAGUGAGUUUCACAGGCAAGGAACCACCACUGAAAAGUCCCUUCCUUGGAGCCCUAAACCAUGCUUGCUUCAGUGUAAGGACAGCCAAGAGGGCCUCAUUUCUCAAUGCACUGGCAGGUUGAUAUGAGAUUAUGGGAGGAAAGGUUCAGGGGAAUCUUUAAGGAAAUGCAUAACUCCCUGAUUUCUGCCCCUCCCUGUGAUUUUAGACAAGUUAUGUCUCUCCUAUAGCCUUCUAAAACAUUAAUUGAAGAAGCCAAGGCACCAUCUGACCCCCCUCUUACUCAGAUACUUAGCUCAGGGUAGAGUGAAUGGAUUCAUCAUCACAGCAGCCCUAUAUACAGAAUACUUUGUUAAGCCCAUCCACAAAGACUAAACUUUUAAAUUUUCUCUCCUCCACAAGAGAUGAGACUCUCGCAGAACACCAAAGGCUGCACCCAAUGUCGAAUCCUUCAUUGGUUUGUCCACAUGGGCACAAUCACACAAUUAUGGGAUGCACAAAAGCCCACAUGAAUACUGAAGCAAGGAGCAGGUUUGUCAUCAAAUUUUGGCUGACUUGUAUCUCAAAUACAACAUUUAAAAAACAUUUUGCACACCACUGAGUAUCAGUGCUCCGUUAAGAUAAAUGAGCCAUGUAUGGAGAAGCAAGGAAGCCAUACAGUUUGACAGAUAUCCAAAUAGACCACAACAGGGAUUUCAGAUGAGAGAGUUUUCCACCCAACCCCCUUCCUUUGACAAAAAUAGAUUUAGUUUAGGAUUUAUUUAUUUUUUAAAGGCUUUUGUGGUUCCCCCCCCCUUUUUGUUAAAGAGCACUGAUGACUUGGUCUGUCAAAGCUUUAGUCUUCAGCCCUUUGGAACUUCUCCAAGUUUGACUCGGCACAAUUUCUGGAAGGUUAAAAGUACACUAGAUAAAGGAGCAAGUGUUUUAGAGAAACAAUUCCCUCCACAAUAGGCACGACAAUCCCAUUUAUGUCGCUGUGUGCUUUAGGGGAAAGGGAGUUAUUUCCUGCUUCCUGGCGUUUUACAUCGCACAUCUCUUUGCACAACCAGCAGAACCCUUUAACGCGGGCGAUAUCAGACCUGGAGGAAAAUGCAGCCCACUAUGUGGCCCUCAAGACCCUCCCUGGACCCCAUCCCAGCCCUGCUCCAUGCCCUCCUUGAGAGUUUCUGCCUGAUGGCCUGAGUCCUUGGACUGGGAUCAGGCCUGGUGUUUGCAUGGCUGGAAUGUAACCUGUACAAAGUACAACUCACAUUGGUUGCUCUGGCCACUUUUGCUACUAACCUGUGUCCCCCACCUGCACGUUACCCUUGAGUCGGCCACUGGGCUGACAAAGGUUCCUCACCCCCUGCCUUGAAGAUCUAAACCAGAAAUGGGAAUCUGUGGCCCUUCAACUGCCAUAACCCCUAGGCAGUACAUCCCAUGGGUGCAGUGGCCCAACUACCUCUCAGGACCACAGGUUUGCCAUUCCUGCCCAUAACAGUUGGGAAGCAGGGCCUCUCAGGGACUAUUUCCUCUCUUUUAAGAUCUCCAGUCUGCUUUGAGAUCCUUGCGAUUCUGCUGCUGAAAGAUGUUGGGAAUAAGAAAAUAUCCUUUCAAUGGGAGUGUUAUGGAACAGCCCCCCCCCCCCGGCGAGGUGUGUUUUCCCCAUACCUCAUUGCCUGCUUUUAAGCAACUACUUAAGACAGUGUAAUUUCAGCUUCUCACGGGAUUAAGUGAUGCAUAUACGGGCACACAUACCCGUGCCAGUAUAUCAAUGCAAGAAAUAAAUAACAAUGAAAAGUUAAGUAAUAUUAUUGUUAAUAAUUUAUAAAUUAGUUCUGGGCAAGACUUGAUCACUUGUGAUCCUUUGAAAACUCCACUGCUGCCAACCUAAAAAAGUGUUCUGGCAAGCAGAAGUACAUUAUAGAAACAUCAGAUGGAGCCCCGCUGGAUCCGGCCAAAGGCCCAUCUAGUCCAGUAUCCUGUUCUCCCAGUGGUCAAUCAGAUGCUUAUGGAAAUCUCACAAAGCAGGACCUGAGCACAAGAGCACACCCCAGCAUGUGACUUCCAGCAUCUGGCAUUCGGAGGCAUACUGCCUCCCACUGUGUCUUUACUGCUGUGUCAACCCAACUGUCUAGGGAAAACAGGAGAAAAGCUGGCUUAGAGGUACAAAGUUCCUAAAUCAGGCAAUUACAUCAUGGUCUGAGCUUCAUUUGACCAAUAUGCUGACUAAGGGAUUUCAGACACACUUUAACCUCAAAAUUUUAGCAACUCCUUUCAUGUGUAAGACCUGGUCUCCCUCUCCUCCCGCCCUUUUCCAAUUUUGAGGUUAUUUGUGUUUCUGGAUCCUUUAAUGAACAUCUACUUUUAGCAAGUAAAACAUGGAGAGUAAGUUACCUACUGGAAAAUGCUAAUGGGAGCAGAAGCCCAACAAUGACACUAUCAGCCUGACCGAGGGGUAAACCCCCAAGACUGGACCAUUUCAGGCUGUGUGUGGCAAAGAAUGUCAUGUUUUUAUAGCAUCAGUGAUGGGAACCUCAGGUCUGGGUGGUGAGAGUGACUCCCCUCUCUGGUCUCACUAUCUUGCCCAGGCCAAGCCAAGUGAAUGAAGAAAUGUGGUCCGUGGGCUGUAAAGCCUUUCCCCAUUUUAUAAGCUUUACCACUUUAAAAAAAAUCCCUUACAUGUAGCAAUUAAAUAAAGGAGAGGGCCUUUUCCAUGUGCUCUUUUUAUAAAUGCAGAGGUUUUUUUUUAAGGGGCAGACUGAUGUAGUUGAGACUGCUCAUGUUUGAGCCCUUCCAGGCCUUGGAAAAAUGAGGUCUCUUCAAGUGGCGGGGAGCAGGACCCCAUAGCAGAGCUCCAUAUAGACUGAAGGGCCACUGAAUCUGGACCGUUCCGCUCAGGGCUACAGGUCCCCACAUCAGUGGCCUGGAUGCCUGACCAUCUCAGACUCUCGUCCCACAGAGCAGAGAUGAGUCAGGCAGCAGCUUAGGUCCAGCUAGCUUUAUGUGAGGUUCCUCAGGAGGAGGAGGAAGUGUAUGGAAGCACAUGCCUGGAUCAGGGCCUGGCAGACAGCCAGGAAGGGAAUGGAGCCCUAAACUCCCAAUAUAAACUCUCUGCCCGAGCUACUUUUGCUGAAGCAAAAGCUCUCUGUUCCAAGCUCCAGCCUGCCUGAAGUGGGUUGGGUUGGGGGUGGCAUGGUUGCCUGAUGUUUCAAAUACCCAUCUGACACCCAUCAAAAGGCCGUAGUGACUUGACACUCUGCAACCCCUUGAGGACACUGCCAGUCAAACAGCUGAACCACAGACCGUAACAUACUC